CCUGUACUGCACACUGUUCUAUGCUAGCUCAAGGGGAAGAGAAGUGCUCAAGUCAUAAACUAAAAAAACAAACUUCAAAACGUUGGGCAUUAAGUUGAAGGUCAAUUUCCAGCCACUCUAAAGCUGUUGUGAUGCUAGCUCUAAAGGAGAGCAGAAGUAUCAAGUCAUCAGCACAAAAGGGAACUAGUGAUUAAUUAAUUACAGCCAUGUCUUGUUUUAUGUACAUAGAAAAAAGGUCCGUCAUAAAGUUGGAAGUCAAUCACUCUGAAGCUGAUUGUAAAGCUGCGAGAAAUUGAUUCUAUUAUUCAUGAAUAAUAAUUUUCUAUUAUAGGUGGAGCGCUGUUAAUGUUGUCAAAUCUUUGCGAGGGAGCAGAAAUCAAACAUGCAGAGGGUACCAAACGAUGUAACUAAGUUGUACACUUUCUUAGAUAGAUUAGUCAUAGGAUGUUUUACUUAGUUCACUGUUAAUCAUUUAGUAUGCUGUAUCAAUGCAAUGUCUCUUGUUGCUAUGACAAUGUGAUGUACUUGUAACACUUAUAUACAUGUCAUGU
Molecule: long non-coding RNA, 551 nt
Organism: Halichondria panicea
Lineage: Eukaryota; Metazoa; Porifera; Demospongiae; Suberitida; Halichondriidae
Exons: 3
Source: RefSeq, a predicted model, not a curated record